UCGAAACUCGCACGGUGAAUGCCUCAAGAGAGGCUCCUAUUCGAGAGAGAAGAGAGCUACUCCUCUUUCGCGUGACUUUUCAACGGGCUCAAAAGGUCAGAUCUCUCAAGAAUCCUCAACGAUCUGUCCUUUAAAAGCGAGAAAAUACCGGCUCCUCGAUCGAGCCAAGUGCCUUCUUACCUACGAGACAGGAUAAAGGAUAAAUUUUGUAACGUGAAAGAAGAAGAAGGAGAAGAAAAAGAAAAAGAAAAAGAAGAAAAAGAAAAAACAAGAACAAAAUAAGCAAUGUAUAUCGAUACGUGCUAUUUUACACAGUGCUACUCGACGUAGGCUAUUCAAACUGAACAAUAGCAUACUAGUAAUCUUACGUAAAGUUAGCUAGAGAAUCCAUGAUUUAAAGGAAAAGAGGAGUAAGAA
This 417-nucleotide long non-coding RNA is filed under the name Polistes fuscatus (common paper wasp). Its description in RNAcentral is "uncharacterized LOC122524851". Lineage: Eukaryota; Metazoa; Arthropoda; Insecta; Hymenoptera; Vespidae. The record is from RNAcentral.